Molecule: long non-coding RNA, 409 nt
Organism: Pezoporus flaviventris
Lineage: Eukaryota; Metazoa; Chordata; Aves; Psittaciformes; Psittacidae
Exons: 2
Source: RefSeq, a predicted model, not a curated record
AAUAAAUCAUAUCUGUGGCUCCCUGAAGCACAUGAAACCAAAUCAUGUAAAUGACAAUCACCUAAAUUGGUUUAUCACAAAGGUCUCUGGUAAAUAUUUUCUAAAGCAGUUUCUUUGACAUUAUUAAAUCUUAUUCCAUUUUAUAAUUAGGAUCUUUCUUAGAAUCAACUAGGUUGGAAAAGAUCUUUAAGGUCAUCAAGUCCAAAAAAAAGGAGCAAGCUCCAGCUUCAACUCCUAGUGACAAAAAGUCACUUAAUGCGAAGUCCUCUCAUCAUAUCAGACAUUAAACUGGACAUCUUGGCAUAUUUUCUGAAGUAAAGUUUCCUCCAUCCCAUUUGUGUAGCUGAGCAGCAACUGGGACAACUGGAAUUGGUGGCAGUUUCUCCCUCCAACUGGGACCAUCCUGAUC